RNAcentral lists this ribosomal RNA (249 nucleotides) under uncultured bacterium. Its description in RNAcentral is "partial 16S ribosomal RNA". It matches the Rfam family "Bacterial small subunit ribosomal RNA", at positions 85 to 334 of the family's 1533-position model. The record is from RNAcentral.
AAGAUGGCGACCGGCGCACGGGUGAGUAACACGUAUCCAACCUGCCGAUAACUCCGGAAUAGCCUUUCGAAAGAAAGAUUAAUACCGGAUGGCAUACGAAUAUCGCAUGAUAUUUUUAUUUAAAGAAUUUCGGUUAUCGAUGGGGAUGCGUUCCAUUGGUUUGUUGGCGGGGUAACGGCCCACCAAGACUACGAUGGAUAGGGGUUCUGAGAGGAAGGUCCCCCACAUUGGAACUGAGACACGGUCCAA